Pecten maximus is the source of this 472-nucleotide long non-coding RNA. RefSeq lists it as uncharacterized. The transcript is spliced from 3 exons. The record is from RefSeq and is a predicted model, not a curated record. NCBI's taxonomy places the organism in Eukaryota, Metazoa, Mollusca, Bivalvia, Pectinida, Pectinidae.
CUGUUAUCUUCAUCAUUUUUUGUAUCAAUAUCUGGUAAUUAUCAGUCAUUUAUUUAAAGUACCAAAUUUUAGCUAUUAAGGUUCUAUUGGUUCUGAGGUAAAAUGAUAGUGCGCAUGCUUGGCGGGAAUCAUCAUUUCAAAACCACAACACGAGGCGUCAGUAUUAUAAGGGCUGGUAUAUACAAGACUGAAAGAUCAUGCCUGGUAGAGGAAAGAAACGAUCCAGGGAGUCUGAAGGCAGCACAAACGGAGAGUCAAAGAGACACAAAAUUGGACACUGUUCCCAUAGAUGCGAAGAAGGUGUGGUACUAGUUUUGGGGGAGGGAGAUGUAGGUCAGCUUGGCCUUGGUGAAGAUAUUUUAGAGCGAAGCAGACCAACCCUUCUGUCAAGCCUGGAUGAAAAAAUCAUUCAAGUUGUGUGUGGUGGAAUGCACACGGUUUGUGUAACUGCCAAAGGGGAGGUAAGUACAUU